AGAGUUUGAUCAUGGCUCAGAUUGAACGCUGGCGGCAUGCCUUACACAUGCAAGUCGAGCGGCAGCGCGGGGGCAACCCUGGCGGCGAGCGGCGCACGGGUGAGUAAUGCAUCGGAACGUGUCCUCUUGUGGGGGAUAACCAGUCGAAAGACUGGCUAAUACCGCAUGAGAUCGAGAGAUGAAAGCAGGGGACCCGCAAGGCCUUGCGCGAGAGGAGCGGCCGAUGCCCGAUUAGCUAGUUGGUGGGGUAAAAGCCUACCAAGGCGACGAUCGGUAGCUGGUUUGAGAGAACGACCAGCCACACUGGGACUGAGACACGGCCCAGACUCCUACGGGAGGCAGCAGUGGGGAAUUUUGGACAAUGGGGGCAACCCUGAUCCAGCCAUGCCGCGUGUGUGAAGAAGGCCUUCGGGUUGUAAAGCACUUUCGGCCGGAACGAAGUCGCACUGGUGAAUAUCCAGUGUGGAUGACGGUACCGGAAGAAGAAGCACCGGCUAACUACGUGCCAGCAGCCGCGGUAAUACGUAGGGUGCGAGCGUUAAUCGGAAUUACUGGGCGUAAAGUGUGCGCAGGCGGUCUCGCAAGUCAAGUGUGAAAGCCCCGGGCUUAACCUGGGAACUGCGCUUGAAACUACGAGACUCGAGUGUGGCAGAGGAAGGUGGAAUUCCCGUGUAGCGGUGAAAUGCGUAGAGAUGUGGAGGAACACCGAUGGCGAAGGCAGCCUUCUGGGCCAACACUGACGCUCAUGCACGAAAGCGUGGGGAGCAAACAGGAUUAGAUACCCUAGUAGUCC
This 793-nucleotide ribosomal RNA is filed under the name uncultured bacterium. RNAcentral describes it as "bacterial SSU rRNA". It matches the Rfam family "Bacterial small subunit ribosomal RNA", at positions 8 to 796 of the family's 1533-position model. The record is from RNAcentral.